CACGUAGGGACCAAGCGUUGUCCGGAUUCAUUGGGCGUAAAGAGCUCGUAGGCGGUUCGGUAAGUCGGGUGUGAAACCUCCAGGCUCAACCUGGAGACGCCACCCGAUACUGCCGUGACUAGAGUCCAGUAGGGGAGCGUGGAAUUCCUGGUGUAGCGGUGAAAUGCGCAGAUAUCGGGAGGAACACCAGUGGCGAAGGCGACUUCUUGGCCUGUUCUUGACGCUGAGGCGCGAAAGCUGGGGGAGCAAACGGG
Molecule: ribosomal RNA, 254 nt
Filed under: uncultured bacterium
Lineage: Bacteria
Description: partial 16S ribosomal RNA
Rfam family: Bacterial small subunit ribosomal RNA
Source: RNAcentral